Molecule: long non-coding RNA, 1822 nt
Organism: Mobula hypostoma (lesser devil ray)
Lineage: Eukaryota; Metazoa; Chordata; Chondrichthyes; Myliobatiformes; Myliobatidae
Exons: 3
Source: RefSeq, a predicted model, not a curated record
GACUCAUCCUCUUCCAUCUUUAAUGUGUAGUCCAACAUUCUGAAUAAAAGUAACACGACAGCUCUCCUGGUGGAACUGAGCCGCAAAAGCUACAAAAGCUCCAGCUCCUGUUCCUGGUUUUUGGUGUAGCUAAGGCCAAAAAGAAAAUGAUUUUAAUCCAGACUGCACACAGGAGCAGCGCUCUAUCUAAUGGCCUGUGCCCAGCAAAAUCAAGAUAGUACUACAAAAAAGUCUUACCUGUGGCAUUCACAGUCAAAUAAAGAAAGCAACAGAAAAGCUACACACAAACAGGACCGACAAUCAAUGUGCAAAAGAAGACAAACUGUGCAAAUACAAAAAAAAACAAACAAAUAAAGAAAUAAUACUGAGAAAAUGAGUUGUAGAGUCCUUGAAAGUGAGUCCAUAGGUUGUGGAAUCAGUUCAGUAUUGUGAAAGGAGACAAGUUUGACUGCAGUAAUUACAAAGAAGUCUUCCUGCUGUCUGCUAUAUGGAACAUCAUCACAACCAUCCUUUUCAACCUCCUCCUCCUAGUGACUGUGGCACUCCUCUCAGGGAAGCAAUGAGAAUAACGUCAAUCAGAGGAUAUAGUGUACAUGAUUUCCACUGUACAUGAACAGCCAGAAAAUUUGCACAGAGCACUACCAGACCUUGCAAAAGCCGCCGACUCCAAUCAUUGAGAUAAAUUAUGAAGACUUCUUCUCAAAUUUGGCUGCCCUCAGAAACAUGUUACCAUUCUACAGUAUGUACUACAUGUUAUGCAAGCUGUGACAUUAACCAGGGGGUCCACAGACCCAGUGUGCCGACUGGGGUCAAGCAAGGUGGCUUCAUUAUACCAAACCGCUUCUCAAUCAUUCCUGUUGUUAUCUGCACACUGUGAUUUGUAAGCUUAGCAUUAUUACAAGUUUAUCAUGCAGUGUAUUCAGCUUGAAUUAACUGUAUCUCUUGUUGAAGAAAAGAUCUUAUUAGCAAUUCUGUGACUGAUAUAUACAUGCAGGUGACAUAACAUCAUCAGAGAGAGUGCAAACUAAUAUUUGCUUUAUGUUCUAUUUAUCUAUCUGAUUAAACUUUACUUGUGAUGGUUUAAAUUAAUUGUACCUACUUUUACAGUGUUAUUUUCAUGUUUAUUACAAAGGCUAACCUAAUCACGAAUUGGUACAAAAAUUGUAAAGAUUUUGACGAUGGAUAUUUUGUUUGUUCACAGAAUCAACUAAAUUAAAAUACAAGUAAAAUAAAUUUAUUAUAUACCAUGUGCAUUUUUUAUGUAUCCCAAAACUUUAAUCUUAGGAACUACACCAUAGACAUAGAAAAUAUGAAUUGCAAAUUAAUAUUUAUAGCCAGUAAACCAGUAACAAUUCUCAUAUAUACUAGCUUGCUUGUUGUGGCUGUGUUGCCAACUAACAGUAUCAGAAAUUGUUUCUUGGAAUUACAGCUGGAAUAUCCAGUUACACAGUAAUAGAUUUUAUUUCUGCCAUAGUUCCAGAAAUGAAUGACUUCUGUAAAAAUCCAUGCACUGACAGCAAUUUGCAUUAAUUAAAGGGCUUCAACUGCCUCUUCCCUUCUACAAACAUAAACAAUAAGUCAAACUGCAUGUGAAUACAGUAAGCAACACUGUGUUUAUUUUAGGUUCAACAGUAUCUCAUUUACACGUGUUAAUUAGAGCUAAUUGGGACUAAUUAAAUGAACAGGAACCCCUCUGGGGAUGUUCAUACCUAUAAUUUUGGUAAAUAGUCUUAAUUAACAUAUGCAAGUUAGGGCUAAUUAGCAUUGAUUAAGGGAUUUUAGCUAAAUUUUAAAGCGCUGCUCUUCAAAUACUAUAAGCAGU